UGAUAUGUCUUCCUUCCAAAUAUACGAACUAACUAACAUCUACAGUAAAAUUACAAGUGCAGUGGUUCGACUGGUAUUAAUUACCCUUACUUAGAGGACGCGGCUGGUAACAUCGAUCUACAGUAAAAUUACAUAUGUGCACUAGGUUAACCUUGUGACAAAAAAAAACAGUAACGCGAGAUAUGAUGAAAUAAUUGAGAUGCGUAAAU
RNAcentral lists this long non-coding RNA (209 nucleotides) under Nicotiana benthamiana. RNAcentral's name for it is "long non-coding RNA (NBEN_LNC007095)". The record is from RNAcentral. Lineage: Eukaryota; Viridiplantae; Streptophyta; Magnoliopsida; Solanales; Solanaceae.